UAUGUCCUGUCAAUGUGUCGUCGAUAAGUCGUGCGGCGCCCCGGUGGCCUGCUAAAUCAGCAUCAGGAGCAGUUCCAGAGGGAGGCAUGGAGGAUGGCGCACUCAAGCGACGGACAGCAGUAGCCGUUUCGGCCCCUGAUAACGAUGGAUGGAUGACUGGAACUGCGGACUGGGUCUCUGGAUGCGCCUCUAGCUAAAUGGAACACUGUCCGCCGGGUGUAUGGGUAUGGCUCGGGUCGAGGCGAAGCGACGCGACCACCGAUCGGUGGAUCAGCAUCUGGUUGGACGGCUUCUAAUGCCUCUUUCAAAUGUGCCGCACUUCCUCUGGACUCUACUCGCUCCACUAUGCUCUUCUCCUGCUCCUGCUCCUUCGCUAUUAAUUAGAAUGUAUGGCCGUUGCUUCUGUGCCGCUGACUACCUCCUGCCCCCCUGCCCACUUCUCCAUUCCCGUUCAUUUUUGGCAUUUCAGAGUUAACGGCACGCGACAUUUUAAAUAUGUAUGUAUGUAUGAUGCCCUCCAUCCAUCGCCCUGGACUGCUCCGCUCCUGUUUGGGGUUCUCUUCUCGGACUGCCACUCGCCUCGUUUGCACCAGCGCAGAGGACGACUCCACCACGACUCGACUCCCCUGGAGCAGCUGUUGAAAUUGAUGCCUGGCCCAGGCGUUCGGCAUUUGUGUCGAAUAUGCAGCACGGACGGGGAAUGGGCUGCGGAU
Drosophila obscura is the source of this 713-nucleotide long non-coding RNA. RefSeq lists it as uncharacterized. The transcript is spliced from 3 exons. The record is from RefSeq and is a predicted model, not a curated record. Lineage: Eukaryota; Metazoa; Arthropoda; Insecta; Diptera; Drosophilidae.